UACGUAGGGGGCAAGCGUUGUCCGGAAUCAUUGGGCGUAAAGCGCGUGUAGGCGGUCCGGUAAGUCGGUUGUGAAAGUCCAGGGCUCAACCCUGGGAUGCCGACCGAUACUGUCGGACUAGAGUUCGGAAGAGGCGAGUGGAAUUCCCGGUGUAGCGGUGAAAUGCGCAGAUAUCGGGAGGAACACCAAUGGCGAAGGCAGCUCGCUGGGACGUUACUGACACUGAGGCGCGAAAGCGUGGGGAGCGAACAGG
RNAcentral lists this ribosomal RNA (253 nucleotides) under uncultured bacterium. RNAcentral's name for it is "partial 16S ribosomal RNA". It matches the Rfam family "Bacterial small subunit ribosomal RNA", at positions 524 to 776 of the family's 1533-position model. The record is from RNAcentral.